This 65-nucleotide ribosomal RNA is filed under the name Geobacillus zalihae. RNAcentral's name for it is "partial 16S ribosomal RNA". It matches the Rfam family "Bacterial small subunit ribosomal RNA", at positions 1 to 63 of the family's 1533-position model. The record is from RNAcentral. Lineage: Bacteria; Bacillati; Bacillota; Bacilli; Caryophanales; Anoxybacillaceae.
UUUCUUUGGAGAGUUUGAUCCUGGCUCAGGACGAACGCUGGCGGCGUGCCUAAUACAUGCAAGUC